RNAcentral lists this ribosomal RNA (301 nucleotides) under uncultured bacterium. RNAcentral describes it as "partial 16S ribosomal RNA". It matches the Rfam family "Bacterial small subunit ribosomal RNA", at positions 509 to 807 of the family's 1533-position model. The record is from RNAcentral.
CAGUCGCCACGGGAAUACGUAGGGUGCAAGCGUUAUCCGGAAUUAUUGGGCGUAAAGAGCUCGUAGGCGGUUUGUCGCGUCUGCUGUGAAAACUGGAGGCUCAACCUCCAGCCUGCAGUGGGUACGGGCAGACUAGAGUGCGGUAGGGGAGAUUGGAAUUCCUGGUGUAGCGGUGGAAUGCGCAGAUAUCAGGAGGAACACCGAUGGCGAAGGCAGAUCUCUGGGCCGUAACUGACGCUGAGGGGCGAAAGCAUGGGGAGCGAACAGGAUUAGAUACCCCUGUAGUCCCUGUCUCUUAUAC